AAACUGAUGAAACAGAAAGAACCAUUUUAUCCACUGCUCCCCCCACGGGGGAUGCACUGAGCCGCUGGCCUCGCUCCAAGGCCCCGAGAGAGGCCAAGACUUCUCCACCUUCUCAUUUGGCUUCCACUCAACAGAACAGCUGGAGAAGUGGCACCUCGAGGGCUCCCGACUAUUUUUAUGUGGCCAUCUGCCCUCCAGACCGGGCCUGGCAGGCAGCGACAAGCCAGAGGAAUGCCACAGCAGGUGGGCGACGCCCCGACAGCUGACACCCAGCCCUGCUCCUGACUGCUGUCCUGGGGACACGGGAAGUGAGGUGUGAGGAUGGCAAGAGGAGAGAGAACGCCUUUUACACGUCACAGUGUGGCGUGAUGUGUGUGCCCUUGAUUCGCUGUCUAUUUCUAGAAGGAGCUGAGUUCUGCCCUGCCGUGGCCAGGGGAGCAGAGUGCGCCAGCCGGACGCAUUGGCCAGCUGCUGACCUCAGUCACCCAGAGGAGAGGGCCUUGCAAAUGCUCUGCAGAGACGGGGCCCCAAAGAAAGCCUGGGCCUCCGCUUGUCGUAAAGGGUGCUUACUUCCAAGCACUGAUGGAUGCCUGCUGUGCGCCACGCUCCUUCCAGGCUGUGUGCUUGGAUCAUGGAACAGCACCCGCCAGCUCAGAGGGGCCAGGACGAGGUGGGUCGAGACGAGACAUUUAUGGAGCACCUUCUGUGUGGAGAGGCUGGGUGCUGGCCGGUGAUGGGAUGGUGUCAAGAGAAGGCGGCUGCAUGGAAAACAGGUUUGCCGUAGCCUGAAAAAGCCAAGGGUAGCGCUGAGCUCUCACAGACUCAUUGCAGGAUACGACGUAACCUAAUUACACCAUUAAAUUAAUGUUGUUAAUUUGAA
Long non-coding RNA from Myotis lucifugus (little brown bat), 880 nucleotides. RefSeq lists it as uncharacterized. The record is from RefSeq and is a predicted model, not a curated record. The transcript is spliced from 3 exons. Lineage: Eukaryota; Metazoa; Chordata; Mammalia; Chiroptera; Vespertilionidae.